RNAcentral lists this ribosomal RNA (467 nucleotides) under uncultured bacterium. Its description in RNAcentral is "partial 16S ribosomal RNA". It matches the Rfam family "Bacterial small subunit ribosomal RNA", at positions 28 to 507 of the family's 1533-position model. The record is from RNAcentral.
GAUGAACGCUGGCGGCGUGCUUAACACAUGCAAGUCGAACGGAAAGGCCCAAGCUUGCUUGGGUACUCGAGUGGCGAACGGGUGAGUAACACGUGGGUGAUCUGCCCUGCACUUCGGGAUAAGCCUGGGAAACUGGGUCUAAUACCGGAUAGGACUACUUCUUGGAUGUUGUGGGGGAAAGUGUUUGCGGUGUGGGCUGAGCUCGCGGCCUCUCAGCUUGUUGGUGGGGUAUUGGCCUACCAAGGCGUCGACGGGUAGCCGGCCUGAGAGGGUGUACGGCCGCCAUGAGGCUGCGGUGCGGCCCCGACUCCUACGGGGGGCAGCAGUGGGGAAGAAUGCAGGAUGAGCGCAGCCCUGCUGCUGCGGCGACGCGGUGGGGACGACGGCCUUCGGCUUGUAGACAACUUUCGCCAGGAACGAAGCAGUUUGUGACGGUACCUGGAGAAGAAGCAACGGCUAAAUACGUG